AGUUUCUACAAAUUAUAUCCCAGAAAAGCUACGUGACGUAUUUACUGUGGCAGCUGGCAGCAGCAGUGUUGAAGAGUGAGUCACUUUACGACGAUUUUCCUUUACGAAGCACGUAAACAAGAAAAUGAAGUGGUCCGUCGUCUCAUCGCCAGCGCUACUGCUCCUGUAUUUGGUGACUCUCUCUUCUGCUGAGGAAAGUAAAGGGAAGACACCAGUCGACCUGAAGGUUCCAUUAACCUCGACUUUGGACACUGCAUCAUUAAAUGGUACAAAAUGGAAAAAAUGCCCGGAUGGAAUGAUAUGCUGGAGUACUUUCACGUGUUGUCCAUGGAGGAGUCCUCGGAUGUAUUCAUGUUGUCCUCUAACAAAUGCUGUUUGUUGCCCUGACCUUAAACAUUGUUGUCCGGAAGGGCAAUCUUGUUCAGCUGAUUUAAAGUGUAUACCUGAGCACAGAUUUCAUUAAUAUCGCUGAAGGAAUACGAUGUUUCGGCAUUUAUUGUCGUUGGCUGAAUACAAAGCCAAUUCCUCUUUACCAUGACAAUCAGUCGGAUAAAAUUAUAUGGCGUUGGUAAUAUUUAAUACCAGGAAAUAAAAAAGUAUACUUAAAAAAGAAAGACCGAAAAAAAUUGAAGUAUUUUGAUGCAAAUGACGUUUCGGUCAUGAAAUUCUUAAAGGUAGAACGCAGAGUCACAAAAGAAAUAGAAUCGCAAACGAUAGCACAAAAUAUCUCAUUUAUUUCGUUAACAAUUUAGAUUCUCUGAAAAGCUCUCAGUUGCACAAAUGUUUAUUUGACAACCCCAAAGCAAGCUGUCUGUAAUGUAUAUAGCCACAUAAUUCCAAAGUAUCGGAAAAAAUUCAAUUACAGAACUAAAUAUUUGGCCACAGUUAGAAAUGGGCUCAGAUCUUGGCGAGCCUUAGACUGCCUCGAGCCGCUUCCUAGCGUUUGCGAUGCGGGAUCUGCAGAAAUGAAGCACAUGAGAAAAUAGAAGAUUUAUAGUCGCUGAUUUAAAUAAUCCGCACACGUCUUUCAGAUUGACGCAGGUGGCAUUGUCAUUACAAAA
Molecule: long non-coding RNA, 1061 nt
Organism: Pocillopora damicornis (cauliflower coral)
Lineage: Eukaryota; Metazoa; Cnidaria; Anthozoa; Scleractinia; Pocilloporidae
Source: RefSeq, a predicted model, not a curated record